UAACGAAUCUUCCGCAAUGGGCGAAAGCCUGACGGAGCAAUGCCGCGUGUGGGAUGAAGCAUCUAUGGUGUGUAAACCACUGUCAGGGGGCGGAAACAAUGAUUGCCCCCAGAGGAAGUGGCGACUAACUCUGUGCCAGCAGUCGCGGUAAUACAGAGGCCACAAGCGUUAAUCGGAAUCACUGGGCUUAAAGGGUGCGUAGGCGGAUUUGCAAGCGUCUUGUGAAAGCCCCCGGCUCAACCGGGGAACUGCAGGGCGAACUGCAAGUCUUGAGGCAGGUAGGGGCCGCGAGAACAGUAGGUGGAGCGGUGAAAUGCGUAGAUAUCUACUGGAAUGCCGAUGGGGAAGCCGCGCGGCUGGGCCUGACCUGACGCUGAGGCACGAAAGCGUGGGGAGCAAACA
Molecule: ribosomal RNA, 402 nt
Filed under: uncultured bacterium
Lineage: Bacteria
Description: bacterial SSU rRNA
Rfam family: Bacterial small subunit ribosomal RNA
Source: RNAcentral